This 405-nucleotide unclassified non-coding RNA is filed under the name fungal sp. Its description in RNAcentral is "partial internal transcribed spacer region". The stretch from base 1 to 46 matches the Rfam family "Eukaryotic small subunit ribosomal RNA", at positions 1786 to 1831 of the family's 1831-position model. Lineage: Eukaryota; Fungi. The record is from RNAcentral.
AAGUCGUAACAAGGUUUCCGUAGGUGAACCUGCGGAAGGAUCAUUAACACAUCCCCAAAAAACCACAUAUCCAAUUUCCUUUGGAUAUUUGACCCCCUUUAAACGUGAACUCUGUUAGGAAGUGCAUCAUAGCUCUGCUCUGCUCCUUUUUUCUUUCUUCAAAACAAUUAUUUUUUAUUUUGCUUGCUGGCUUGCUUGCUUGCGAGCGAAUAAGAAUAAGAAUACGAAUGAGAAAAAAAACAGAAAAGAGCUCCCUGACCGCUUCCGCUUUUUUUCUCCUUUUUCCUUUCAAAACAAAAACCCAAUUGAAUUUUUGACUGAACCUUGUUUUUUCUCCUUUAGAUGGGGGAAAUACAUCUAAGAAAAUGUUUGAAACAACUCUUAGCAACGGAUAUCUUGGCUCUC